This 422-nucleotide ribosomal RNA is filed under the name uncultured bacterium. RNAcentral describes it as "bacterial SSU rRNA". It matches the Rfam family "Bacterial small subunit ribosomal RNA", at positions 355 to 774 of the family's 1533-position model. The record is from RNAcentral.
UGAGGAAUAUUGGUCAAUGGGGGCAACCCUGAACCAGCCAAGUCGCGUGAAGGAUGAAGGUCUUAUGGAUUGUAAACUUCUUUUAUACAGGAAUAAAUUGGGGGACGUGUCCCCUUUUGCAUGUACUGUAUGAAUAAGGAUCGGCUGACCCCGUGCCAGCAGCCGCGGUAAUACGGAGGAUCCGCGCGUUAUCCGGAUUUAUUGGGUUUAAAGGGUGCGCAGGCGGGAUGUUAAGUCGGCGGUGAAAUUUUGCAGCUCAACUGUAAAAGUGCCUUCGAUACUGGCCUCCUUGAGUGUGGAUGAAGUAGGCGGAAUUUGUGGUGUAGCGGUGAAAUGCUUAGAUAUCACGAGGAACUCCGAUUGCGCAGGCAGCUUACUAAGCCACAACUGACGCUCAUGCACGAAGGCGUGGGGAUCAAACA